RNAcentral lists this long non-coding RNA (7584 nucleotides) under Malus domestica (apple). RNAcentral's name for it is "long non-coding RNA (MDOM_LNC008861)". Lineage: Eukaryota; Viridiplantae; Streptophyta; Magnoliopsida; Rosales; Rosaceae. The record is from RNAcentral.
GCAAAACCAAAAUUGAGUGGGUCAGUAAAACAAUUCUUUUCCAAAUUCAACAUUUCUCAAAACGUUGUAACCCCUCUCCGUAAAACCUGUAUACUUUCCCAGAAAUGUAAAAUAUAAAUAUACAUAUAUAUUCUCAAUACUUCAAUUCAUUAACUCAACAUUUUUUUUUUAUCAAUCAUGCCAUGCCAUGUCUAAAUUCAACAGUAUAAUAUGAAUGCAUCAACAUAAAUCAGGUGAAAGAAAAUAAUCAACCGGAGACCCUACAAUGGUCCUGUACGGUUGAAUCUAGAGCUCAAAAUAUCAUCUAACCGGAGUCACCAACUGUGACCUGUACGGCCAUGCCGGAGUCACCUAGUAUGACCUGUACGGCACUAAGUCGGAAUUACAUGUAAUCUCGUACGACUUCUAAUGUAAUCUGUAAAUUAAUGGUCUAGUGCUUUUCUCAUCAAUCAUCUGUGCACAUAAUCUAAGGUCACCUACCAGUCGGAACCCUCUAACGGUGCACGUUUAUGAUCAACAUCAUCAUGGCAUUCUGUCGUCCACCGCACAUUUCAAUAUAUGCAUCUACAUUCAUAAUAUUCAUGAAAUUCAUGCAAUGGCAUAAACUAUACCAAUCAAUUCAUAGCUCAAAUAUCAUUCAACAAAAAUUCACCUGUGCGUCCACCGCACCAUUUCACAUAUAUGCAUCAUACAACAAUUCAUAAUAUUCAUGAAAUUCUAUGCAUGGCAACCAACUAUAUUCCAUAUCACAAUUCAACAUACUUUUCAUUUAAAGCAUAAUUUCAUGCAUUUUCAAUUUCUGGGAAAACGGCAAGUAUAUAUGUAUACGGAAAACAAAACUGCCCACUCACCUGGAGUUCGCCCUACAACUCCCUAGCACAAUACGCCAAGGCGUCAUGACGAUCGCCGCCUAGAACAGUAAUCAAAUCCAACCUCAGAAUUCAUAUCGAUAGAAUAUAACUUAUAUAAAAUACGUCACUACGUAGUUCGAUCCAGAAGAUCUGCAACUCAGAUUUUAAAUCCAUAACUUCUAGAGGUCCACAAUAUAUCUCUAGGAUAACCUCCUAAAAUUUCAUUACCAUCCAACGGUCGGAUCUCCGUCAAUUUCCAAAACUAAGUGACGGUUAACAUUUUAUUUUAUGAACUUACAACUUCAAUUCCGGAAGAUCCGUAAAUCGGAUUCCCAAUCCGUAAGUUCCUAUAAUCCUCAAAUAUUACGUAUUACAACGUAUCAAAGUUUGAUGACGAUUGAUGACGAUCCAACGGUCGGAUCGUCAAUUCACAUUUUCACCUAACCCCGAAUCGUAACCAACUUAGGUUCAAUUAUUCAAUUUACGUCCAUCAAUUAUCAAAACAGAACCUAGAACCUUAAUCACAAUCUAAUAAUGACAUUGGCGGCCAUUGGCCACGCGCCGCCGCGGGUGGCGGUUGGCCGCCCCCGGCUCGCCGGAAAAUUCAACUAUUUCCAAAAAUUACCAAAAUUUGCAGAUUUGAAGAUCUCAAUGAGUUCAACUUUCCAUACCUGAGACCAAGGCCAAUUUGGCCUGGAAGUGCUUCAAUUUCAUUUCACCAAAACCGUGAAGAACCCUAGAAUUUGGGUGUUUCCCAAUUCGACCUUCAAACUUGUUCCAACGCCUCAAUUACCUCUUGGGGCUUUGUUCUUAGGUCCUAAAGGAAUGCUAAAGGUGUUAGUAAUUGAAAGAAAACAUUUCAAAAUUUGGAGAAUUUGAACAAAAGGGUCGCGGCACCCGUAUGGGUGUUCUUCGCGAAAUCACAACAAAAUUCAAUGAUUCUUGGGGUAAAACGUAAGAGGGAAGGCCUAGAUGUUGAUUGGGAGUGGUACCUUGAUCCAAUUCGCUGGAAAAAUGAAGAAAAUUUCGACGAAAAUGGGUGGAAAAACCCACCGGUCGCGGGUUGUGACCCAUUUCUGUUUCUGUUCUUCUUCCUCCGCUUCUCGCCUUCUCUCCUUUCCUCCUUUCCUGGUUCCUGUUCCUGGCCAGCCCUUCCUCUCUCUUCUUUUCCUGAUUUUUCCUGGACCUUCCUUCCUUCUUUCCCUUCUCUUCUCUCUUCUUCUUCCAGUCCAUUUCCUAAAAACCUUCUUUUCUUCUUUCUUCGUACUUCACACACAUUAAAACCUCUUUAAAUUAUUUUCUUAUUUCUUCUUACAUCUAAGCCAUCCAUUUUCAAAAUCCUUAAAUCUGGGCCAUCCAUUUUAAUAAUUUUAAAAAUCUCAAAAAAUGUCCAAAACUUCUUCAACUUUAAAAUCUUUUUCAUUAUAACUCCAAAUAAUGAACUGUCUGCGCCCACACGUUCGUAGCGACGAGUACUACGAGGAUAUGUCAAGAAAACAAAUCUUGGAUGGCACGAAACAACGAUUAACCUCGAACAAUGUGCGUGCCUCAAAUGGCAUUUUUGUAAAAUUCUUUAUUAAAACUUUAAAAAUUCUUAAAAUUAGGGACGGGCUGUCACAAUCUACCCACCUUACAGAAAUUUCGUCCUCGAAAUUUACACAAUCUUUACAAUCCAUCAAUAUCCAUGAAACAGCCCGAAACACAUCUCUCUCAUUCGAUUCUUUGACUUCCAAGUAGCGUCUUCCACUGAAAGAUUCCUCCAUAAACUUUCACCAAACUCAUAGUCUUAUUUCUCAGUACAUCAUCUUUCUAAUACAAGAUGGGCACUGGCUCCUCAUCAUACGUCAAAUCCACAUUGACUUCCAAAGGUUGAGAAGGUAUCACUCGUGAAGGAUAUGAGGUUUAAUGUCGAAGUAUCGAAACAUAAAACAUAUCAUGCCCUUUCAUCGGCUCUGGAGGCAACUCAGCCUGUACGUAACUUCACUGACUCGUUCGAUGAUCAUAGAUGGUCUGACGUAUCUAGGACUUACUUGUUUUUCUUUUUAAAACGAAUCAUACUUUUCCAAGGUGAUAAUUUCAAAAUCAUUCGAUCACCUACAUAUACAUCCGGUCAGUGGCAUGUUUGUCUGCUAAGCUCUUCAGCCGAUCCUGGCCCACUUUCAGGUUAGACUUAAUUACUUGAAUAUUCUGAGUAGUCUCCUCCAUUAACUCAGGGUUUUAAAUACCAUCCGUCCACAAUUCUAACAAUUUGAAACACAAGACACAACUUUCCACGACCUUAUGGCGUUGCUCUCGGGGACAAACUGAAAGGACCAACAUAUCCAAGAAGUUCAACAAAUCUGUAAGUCUAAAUCUCUUUUCCAUAAGACAGAUAAAUAACUGUUGCACUUCUGGAAAGGUUACUGCUCUUUCAUCGAAGAACAUUGUGCUGAUUUAGUAAACCAAUCAAUUAUCACUUCAAAUUUCAUCAUAACCAUCUCGUAAACGAGGGAGCUUGCACACAUAAUCUAUAUUAAUAUUUUCUCAUUUUCACCGUGGAACGGGAAGUGACUACAUCAAUCCAAAAGACUUCUUUCUUUCCGUUAUUCCUUGCUUUAAAUAAAUUUCUUGAAUUUCUUCAUCAAACGUUUGAGUCUCGAGUACGACCUACCAAAUAGACCUAACUUGAAAAUUAGCAAGUACGUUUUCUUUUCGAUCUUCCAUUCCCAACUUUACUCCAGUAGGUCUCAAUCUACAAGAAGAUGAACAUGGCAAUCGUACCAAGCAUUAAUUCUCACUGGGUCUUCCUACUAUAAGCAUUGGCCAUAACAUUAGCUCGACUACCCUAGUCGUACAAUCAUAAUCACUAAGCAACUCAAUCCACCUUUGUUGCCUGAGAUUAAGAUACCUCUGAAUAAACAGAUAUUGGGUACUCUUCGAUUUGUAACAAUCGUGCACUUUUCUUCCGAUAAAGACAAAGUCUCCAAAUCUUCAAAGCAAAGAUGAUAGCUACUAAUUCCAAAUCAUAAUUAGGGUAAUUCAUCUCAUGAAGUUUUAAUUGCCGUAAAACAUAGGUAAUCACCCUAACAUGCUGCAUCAACGCGCAUUCAAGAACAUCCAACGUAGCCUCACUAUAAACCUUAUAAUUACCAUUAUCGUCUGGAAAUGCGAAAACAGAUGCAUGAGUGAGGGAAUACUUUACUUGCUGAAGCUCUACUCACAAUUUUUCAUCCCACUCAAACGUAAUCUCUUUUCUCAUCAAUCUCACCAAGGGCAAAGCAAUGAUUGAAAAAUCUUGGACGAACUAUCAGUAAUAACCUGCUAAGCCAAGAAAACUCUGAAUCUCAGUCACAGUUCGCAAUUGUUCCAAGUUCUCAAUCGUUGCUACUCUUUUAAGAAUCCACUUGAAUAUCUUAAGUAGAUAUAAUUAAUUUCAGAAUGCCACCUGAUUCAUCUAACUUUAGCCUUUGCUAAACUUAGCAUACAACCAACGUUCUCUCAAUCUUUGAAAGUACACAUGCACCUCUGAGCUGAUCAAAUAAACAUCAGUACACCACAAUGGAUAACGGUUCUCAAUCGUUACCCGAUUCCAUUAUCUAUAAUCAAUGCAUAGUCUUUAAAGUCCAUUUUCUUUCUCAUCAACGAACUGGUGCUCCUCAAAAAUGUUGUACUAGGUUAAAUAAAACUUUUAUCAACCAAUUCUCUCAACUGAAUAUUCCCUUAACUAAUCCUGAACCAAUCUUUAACAUAAAUUUAUACCUGGCAACAAUUCAAUAGUGAACCUCAUAUCUCUGCCUGAAGGCAAUCCAGGUAUACUUUCAAGGAAGACAUCAAGAAAAGUCUAACCCUUUUGACAUUAUUCACACUACUCCAAACAACAUCAUUUAGCACCACAUGAGCUAAGUAUUUUUUUUUUUGACAGCCUUUCGAAAACAAUCUCUUUGCUCUCACAGCAUAAAUAACGGCCUGACUCAAUCCACUUUGCAUACUUACAAAAGUAAUCUCUGGUCAUCCAGAUCGAUGGAAAGUGACUGGUUUCCCGUAACAAUCCAUUUAGUCACAAUUAUAACCAACCAAUCUAAUGAAAAUAAUUUAACCGACACAAUACAUACUUUAUUAAUACUGAACAUUCUAAAUAAGUACAACACUAACAUAAAAUAACCUACUGGUUUGCUUGCUUAACGAAUCCACGAAUGAGUUAUUAAUAUUACGGUCUGCAGCCCGCAAUACUGAUAAAUCAUCGUUGUCUCGAUAAGUAGGCAACAAUUCCCAAAGGUGUAAUACUAUCAUUUUGUUCUUCAUUAGAAUACACAUAUACGCCUCUAUCACGUUCCAACAUUACUUUCUUUGGCAUCAUCGUCCAUACUCAGAAAUAUAUCAGCCGGAGUCAACUAGAAUGACCUGUACGGCUGAUUCUCUAGCUCAACCAUCUAUGCUAGCACAUUAGUCGGAGUCACUUAUAGUGACCUGUGCGACUUACACAUCAAUUCCCCAGUAAAUACGUCGGCCGGAUCCACAUCUUGUGGUCUGUACAGCCGAGCCUAUAACUCACCAAUUUCUCAUGUGUCAGCCGGAUCCACCUCUGAUGGCCUGUACGACUGAACAUUUAACUCAUCCAACAUCCUUGUACCCACAGUCCAUAUGACCCAAACUAAUGAUCCAAACACCUGCUGGACUGAUACUGGUGGUAUCAGGGAAGACUGCUGGGUAAUAACUAAUUUUUAGGGACAAUUCACAAUUUUGUGUCUCCUCUGUUCACAUAAACACAUUCAUUAAUUUCACACUUCCCAAAGUGUUAAUUUUGUACCUGCUGCACAAAGGUACCUUUCCUUUAUUCAAAUCACCUUGUCUCUGAAAUCUGGGAUUACCAGCAAUUCUAUCACUUUGACUCUGACCAGUGGCAUUAAAACCUCAGCUGGAAAAAUUAGCUCUAACUUCACUUCUUUUGAAGCUCUGAGUCUUUCGAUAUUCUUGAUAUGACGAAUCAUUAACUUUAUCGUCUUCUUUUAAUUCCCAUUCUUUUCUUAUUCCUCUUCACUCUAGCUGAUCAUAUUCUUAGAGUCCUCAAGGCUCAACAACAUCUUGUAUACUCUUGGUAAGAAAUACAAUGGAUAGUGGUCACCCAAAAUACCACUUCCCUUUUUGCCACCCAGCUUAAAACAACAUAACACCUCCACCAAAAUGGCAGUAAUAUCUGAAUGGAAACGAGGCUAGUCUGAAAACUUUCUAUAAUAUUCAUUUAUCGUCAACUUCCUUGAUUCACAUUUGCAAACUAUUGCUUACUACCAUCGAUAAAUGCCGGAGGGAUAAACUUUUCCUUAAACAAGUCCUUAAACAAUUCUCAAUCGACUGUUCCUCCGGUGACAACAAAUCAUACUCAUGUUUCCACCAGGAUACAAAUUCAUAACCAAAACCAGGUAGUCGUCUCGACCCCUUGUCAGAAGGAAAUUUCAUUUGACUUGCAUAAUCUGAAACAUCUUUUCCAAAUGGUUAAACCGUUACUUCGCUCCCUCAGGUUCAUCAUUUCAUAAGGUGAUUCAAAUUCGACUCAUAUGCCGUCUUAAAAUGUCCCUUUUUGAUAAUAUACUGAAUCACCAUAAUAAUAGUUUCCCCCAAAACCGCUAAAUUAGGGAGACUAAGUUCCUCUAACUACGUGGUUUGCUACGAGGCGGUGUAGUUCUGACAGAAUUCACUAGAACUUCUCAAAAUGUCCAAGAUUGCAACCAUGCUCUGAUACCAACUGACACACCCCGUCCCGAAGGAGGGCAUGCUGGCCGUCACGUGGGAGUGACGUAACCAUUUACACAGUACGGAAGCUUUAAAUUUACAACUCCUAAGAUGAUACACCCGAAGGUGAGUCCUAAUUUGAUCCAUUCUGUCAGAAUCCCGCUGAAUUCCUCGUAGCCACCACACCUCAGCUAUUCUUUAACCUGGAGGGGCGCAAAACCAAAAUUGAGUGGGUCAGUAAAACAAUUCUUUUCCAAAUUCAACAUUUCUCAAAACGUUGUAACCCCUCUCCGUAAAACCUGUAUACUUUCCCAGAAAUGUAAAAUAUAAAUAUACAUAUAUAUUCUCAAUACUUCAAUUCAUUAACUCAACAUUUUUUUUUUUAUCAAUCAUGCCAUGCCAUGUCUAAAUUCAACAGUAUAAUAUGAAUGCAUCAACAUAAAUCAGGUGAAAGAAAAUAAUCAACCGGAGACCCUACAAUGGUCCUGUACGGUUGAAUCUAGAGCUCAAAAUAUCAUCUAACCGGAGUCACCAACUGUGACCUGUACGGCCAUGCCGGAGUCACCUAGUAUGACCUGUACGGCACUACACUGCACAUAAGUCGGAAUUACCUAAUGUAAUCUGUACGACUUAAUGGUGUAAUAAUAUGCUCUAGUGCUUUUCUCAUCAAUCAUCUGUGCACAUAAUCUAAGGUCACCUACCAGUCGGAACCCCUCUAACGGUCUGUACGACUGGCAUGUCGGAACCACCCCCGGUGGUCUGUACGACUAGCAUCUACUUGGAUCCAAGGUGAGCAUACGAUGCAGGGUGAAUAAUAUAAGCACUAAUACCAAGGUGCAGUUUAUGAGCUCAACAUCAUCAUAACAGUAAUAAUAUUCACCUGUGCGUCCACCGCACCAUUUCACAUAUAUGCAUCAUACAACAAUUCAUAAUAUUCAUGAAAUUCUAUGCAUGGCAACCAACUAUAUUCCAUAUCACAAUUCAACAUACUUUUCAUUUAAAGCAUAAUUUCAUGCAUUUUCAAUUU